AUUGAACGCUGGCGGCAUGCCUUACACAUGCAAGUCGAACGGCAGCACGGGAGCAAUCAUGGUGGCGAGUGGCGAACGGGUGAGUAAUAUAUCGGAACGUGCCCAGUCGUGGGGGAUAACGCAGCGAAAGCUGUGCUAAUACCGCAUACGAUCUACGGAUGAAAGUGGGGGAUCGCAAGACCUCGCGCGAUUGGAGCCGCCGAAAUCGGAUUAGCUGGUUGGUGGGGUAAAAGCCCACCAAGGCGACGAUCUGUAGGUGGUCUGAGAGGACGACCAGCGACACUGGAGAUGAGACACCGUCCAGACUCCUACGGGAGGCAGCGGUGAGGAAUUUUGGACAAUGGGCGCAAGCCUGAUCCAGCAAUGCCGCGUGCAGGAUGAAGGCCUUCGGGUUGUAAACUGCUUUUGUACGGAACGAAACGGCGAGCUCUAAUACAGUUUGCUAAUGACGGUACCGUAAGAAUAAGCACCGGCUAACUACGUGCCAGCCGCCGCCGUAA
Molecule: ribosomal RNA, 500 nt
Filed under: uncultured bacterium
Lineage: Bacteria
Description: partial 16S ribosomal RNA
Rfam family: Bacterial small subunit ribosomal RNA
Source: RNAcentral